This 593-nucleotide ribosomal RNA is filed under the name uncultured bacterium. Its description in RNAcentral is "bacterial SSU rRNA". It matches the Rfam family "Bacterial small subunit ribosomal RNA", at positions 353 to 945 of the family's 1533-position model. The record is from RNAcentral.
AGUGGGGAAUAUUGGACAGUGGGCGGAAGCCUGAUCCAGCAACGCCGCGUGAGGGAUGACGGCCUUCGGGUUGUAAACCUCUUUCAGUACCGACGAAGCGCCCGUUGUGGGUGGUGACGGUAGGUACAGAAGAAGCACCGGCCAACUACGUGCCAGCAGCCGCGGUAAUACGUAGGGUGCGAGCGUUGUCCGGAAUUAUUGGGCGUAAAGGGCUCGUAGGCGGUUUGUCGCGUCGGGAGUGAAAACACCGGGCUUAACUCGGUGCCUGCUUUCGAUACGGGCAGACUAGAGGUAUGCAGGGGAGAACGGAAUUCCUGGUGUAGCGGUGAAAUGCGCAGAUAUCAGGAGGAACACCGGUGGCGAAGGCGGUUCUCUGGGCAUUACCUGACGCUGAGGAGCGAAAGUGUGGGGAGCGAACAGGAUUAGAUACCCUGGUAGUCCACACCGUAAACGUUGGGCGCUAGGUGUGGGGCCUAUUCCAUGGGUUCCGUGCCGCAGCUAACGCAUUAAGCGCCCCGCCUGGGGAGUACGGCCGCAAGGCUAAAACUCAAAAGGAAUUGACGGGGGCCCGCACAAGCGGCGGAGCAUGCGGA